AUGGCCUUGCGGUACUACAACUGGGGCUGCGGUCAGCGCUUGGAUCCUGAGACCAAUUCUGAUGAUGCUUGUACAUACCACCCAGGUGUUCCAGUCUUCCACGAUGUUUUAAAUGACUGUACAAAAGGUAGACAUAAUAGUGAGAAGCCACCUGAGCCAGUCAAACCUGAAGUCAAGACUACUGAGAAGAAGGAACUAUCUGAAUUAAAACCUAAAUUUCAGGAACACAUCAUUCAAGCCCCGAAGCCAGUAGAAGCAAUAAAACGGCCAAGCCCAGAUAAACCAAUGACAAAUUUGGAAUUAAAAAUAUAUCUGUCUCCCUAAAGCAAUCACUUGAUAAACUGUCAUCAGGGAAUGAAGAAGAAGAGAAAGAAGACAAUGAUGAAAUUAAGAUUGGCACCUCAUGUAAGAAUGGAGGGUGUUCAAAGAUGUAUCGGGGUCUAGACAGUCUAGAGAAAAUGUCUGUGUAUAUCAUCCUGGAGUAGCUAUUUUCCAUGAGGGGAUGAAAUACUGGAGCUGUUGUAGAAGAAAAACUUCUGAUUUUAAUUCCUUCUUAGCCCAAGAGGGCUGUACAACAGGGAAACACACGUGGACUAAAAAGAUAAAAAAAAAGGAUGCUGGGAAAAAAGUUGUUCCAUGUAGACAUGACGGGCAUCAGACUGGAGGUGAACUUACCAUUUCAAGAAUAUGCUAAAAAUUCACUUCCAGAACUUAGUCAGGUGGAAGCAACAGCACAUUGUUAAAUGUGCACAUUGUAUUUGAAGAAGAGAAGGAAUUUGAUCAAAAUGUGAAAUUAUGGGGUGUGAUUGAUGUAAAGCGAAGUUACAUAACUAUGACUACAAUAAAGAUUGAGAUCACUAUGAGAAAAGCUGAACCAAUGCAGUGUGCAAGCCUUGAACUGCCUGCAGUGAAAAAACAGGAAAAACAGAAAGAUGACACAAUAGAUUGGGAGACAGGAGGAAGACUAUUCCAUAUUUCAGAAUCCUUAAUACUGUGUGAAGUGGUGGCUUGCUGCUGUAAUCUUUCGUUUUGUUGUUGUGUUACUGAAUCUGGCAUUUCAGGGUUAACAUUAGGUUCUUAAAAGUCAAAGUCAGUUUGUCUUUUUGUGCCUCUCUUCUUUCUUUGGUGUUAUGUAAGAUUGAUUAUUAAUUUCUCCUUACUGGUAGGAACCACAGUUGUGUCCUAUACUUGAAGAGGCUGGAAAAUAGCCCAUAACCAUAAUUGCAGUAUUUCUUUGUAUUUCUCUGUUGAGCACAGAAAUAUUAAGGAACAUGUUUUUUACAUCUUUAUAUUAUUCCAUGAUUAGUAAAGCAAGAUGAAAUGUCAAAUUUUAAUCAGUUUUUCAUGGAUUUGUGUUCUUACAGUACUUGAAAAUAUUUAAGGAAGAGAUGAAGCUCUGCAGUUUUUUUCUAUGUGGGAUGAUUACUUUUUUAAGGAGAAUUAAUUCUGAGGUAGUGUAGUAAGUAAAGGGGAAUAUAUGCAUUGUUUAACAAAUUAGAAUUUGUUUACAACUACUUGAAUUUUUAAAUUAUGUCAAAACUUACAUUACUUGCCAAGCAGUAUGAUGUAAGAGUACAGGAAGCAUAAAUAAGAAUGCCAAGGUAUCAAUUUGGUUAAAAUUCACCAUUUUAUAAGACUAAGCAAUAAU
RNA transcript from Mandrillus leucophaeus (drill), 1648 nucleotides. It is a transcript of the gene named cysteine and histidine-rich domain-containing protein 1-like, with no coding region annotated. The record is from RefSeq and is a predicted model, not a curated record. Lineage: Eukaryota; Metazoa; Chordata; Mammalia; Primates; Cercopithecidae. The transcript is spliced from 3 exons.